Molecule: ribosomal RNA, 892 nt
Filed under: uncultured Bacteroidota bacterium
Lineage: Bacteria; Pseudomonadati; Bacteroidota
Description: bacterial SSU rRNA
Rfam family: Bacterial small subunit ribosomal RNA
Source: RNAcentral
GGAUCCAGACUUUGAUUAUGGCUCAGGAUGAACGCUAGCUACAGGCUUAACACAUGCAAGUCGAGGGGAAACGACAUCGAAAGCUUGCUUUUGAUGGGCGUCGACCGGCGCACGGGUGAGUAACGCGUAUCCAACCUGCCCAUCACUUGGGAAUAACCUUGCGAAAGUAAGACUAAUGCCCAAUGACAUCCCACGAAGACAUCUGAAUGGGAUUAAAGAUUUAUCGGUGAUGGAUGGGGAUGCGUCUGAUUAGCUUGUUGGCGGGGUAACGGCCCACCAAGGCAACGAUCAGUAGGGGUUCUGAGAGGAAGGUCCCCCACAUUGGAACUGAGACACGGUCCAAACUCCUACGGGAGGCAGCAGUGAGGAAUAUUGGUCAAUGGGCGAGAGCCUGAACCAGCCAAGUAGCGUGCAGGAUGACGGCCCUAUGGGUUGUAGACUGCUUUUAUAAGGGAAUAAAGUGAGUCUCGUGAGACUUUUUGUAUGUACCUUAUGAAUAAGGACCGGCUAAUUCCGUGCCAGCAGCCGCGGUAAUACGGAAGGUCCGGGCGUUAUCCGGAUUUAUUGGGUUUAAAGGGAGCGUAGGCCGGAGAUUAAGCGUGUUGUGAAAUGUAGUGGCUCAACCUCUGCACUGCAGCGCGAACUGGUCUUCUUGAGUACGCACAACGUGGGCGGAAUUCGUGGUGUAGCGGUGAAAUGCUUAGAUAUCACGAAGAACUCCGAUUGCGAAGGCAGCUCACGGGAGCGCAACUGACGCUGAAGCUCGAAAGUGCGGGUAUCGAACGGGAUUAGAUACCCUGGUAGUCCGCACGGUAAACGAUGGAUGCCCGCUGUUGGUCUGAAUAGGUCAGCUUUCAAGGGAAAGCAUUAAGCAUCCCACCUGGGGAGUACG